RNAcentral lists this ribosomal RNA (504 nucleotides) under uncultured Cupriavidus sp. RNAcentral's name for it is "partial 16S ribosomal RNA". Lineage: Bacteria; Pseudomonadati; Pseudomonadota; Betaproteobacteria; Burkholderiales; Burkholderiaceae. The record is from RNAcentral.
CACGUAGUUAGCCGGUGCUUAUUCUUCCGGUACCGUCAUCCACGCCAGGUAUUAACCAGCGCGAUUUCUUUCCGGACAAAAGUGCUUUACAACCCGAAGGCCUUCUUCACACACGCGGCAUUGCUGGAUCAGGGUUGCCCCCAUUGUCCAAAAUUCCCCACUGCUGCCUCCCGUAGGAGUCUGGGCCGUGUCUCAGUCCCAGUGUGGCUGAUCGUCCUCUCAGACCAGCUACUGAUCGUCGCCUUGGUGGGCCUUUACCCCACCAACUAGCUAAUCAGACAUCGGCCGCUCCUGCUGCGUGAGGCCUUGCGGUCCCCCACUUUCACCCUCAGGUCGUAUGCGGUAUUAGCUAAUCUUUCGACUAGUUAUCCCCCACAACAGGGUACGUUCCGAUGUAUUACUCACCCGUUCGCCACUCGCCGCCAGACCGAAGUCCGCGCUGCCGUUCGACUUGCAUGUGUAAGGCAUGCCGCCAGCGUUCAAUCUGAGCCAGGAUCAAACUCU